UGUUGCCGUUAAAAGCUCGUAGUUGAACCUUGGACCUGGCUGAUCUGUCCUCCUAAUCGAGCGUACGGAUUCGGUCGGGUCUUUCCUUCUGGGGAACCCUAUGUCCUUCAUUGGGUGUAGUGGGGAACCAGGACUUUUACCUUGAAAAAAUUAGAGUGUUCAAAGCAGGCCUUUGCUCGAAUACAUUAGCAUGGAAUAAUAGAAUAGGACAUCGGUUCUAUUUUGUUGGUUUCUAGGACCGCUGUAAUGAUUAAUAGGGAUAGUCGGGGGCGUCCGUAUUCAAUUGUCAGAGGUGAAAUUCUUGGAUUUAUUGAAGACGAACUACUGCGAAAGCAUUCGCCAAGGAUGUUUUCAUUAAUCAGUGAACGAAAGUUAGGGGAUCGAAGACGAUCAGAUACCGUCGUAGUCUUAACCAUAAACUAUGCCGACUAGGGAUCGGACGGUGGUUUUUUUAUGCCCCGUUCG
Molecule: ribosomal RNA, 465 nt
Filed under: uncultured Cyphellophora
Lineage: Eukaryota; Fungi; Ascomycota; Eurotiomycetes; Chaetothyriales; Herpotrichiellaceae
Description: SSU rRNA
Rfam family: Eukaryotic small subunit ribosomal RNA
Source: RNAcentral